RNAcentral lists this ribosomal RNA (2280 nucleotides) under Triticum aestivum (bread wheat). RNAcentral's name for it is "partial small subunit ribosomal RNA". The record is from RNAcentral. Lineage: Eukaryota; Viridiplantae; Streptophyta; Magnoliopsida; Poales; Poaceae.
UGCUAGUCACGUGCGUGGUGUGUAGUGAGUGGGGACCUCGGGGUGGGGUGGCGGCGGCGCCGAUGCGAAUUCUUCCUCGCCCCCACCUCCUCUAUCCGUACCCCGCCCUCCUCGUCGUUCCAGACGAAAAUUUCAGAAAGGGGAUGGCGCCGGCGGGAUUGGAUUUCGAUUUGUACUUGUACUUGCCCUCCCAAUCCGAAUAAAACUCUUGCAGUCUGGCUGGAUUCCCUAUUCCCCUCCCUCAAAUAAACCGUCCCCCUUCACUAGGGAAGGGAAGGGAGACGCCGGAGGCUGGAGGGGAUUUGAAGAGACCGCCGUGCGGCGGGUCUGGAUUUAGAUUGAAAUUCCACUGGAGGGAAGGAAGGAGAGAGAGAUCUAUUUAGGUAUGGGGCUUGUGGAUCUCAUGCACCACAAGUCAAUGGAGCGGCAGCCGGACUGCCGGCGACGGCGAGCUCAAGACACUAAUGGAUUGGUUGCUUCACAGGCCAAAAUAAAUGUCUUGCCCUGUCAGCAAGAUGAUGAUUCUCAGGGUGGUGAGCGUGACAUACAGAUGCCAAACCUUCCAGAGGACAUUUGGCGUCACAUACAUUCCCUGAUGCCAAUGCGAGAUGCUGCCCAAGCUGCCUGUGUCUCUCAUGCUUUUCUACGUUCCUGGAGGUGCCAUCCCAACCUCACCUUUUCUGGCACAGCAUUGGGUAUGAAUAAAAAGACUUGUGUAAAUGAUGAAAUUGCCAGAGACUUUCGUAGCAAGGUUGACCAGAUCCUGAAAAAACACUCAGGCAUUGGUGUGAAGAAACUUAAACUUACGAUUGACAUGAUUCAAUAUUACACUGCCAAGGAUUCUUGUUAUGUCAACAGUUGGCUUCUGAUUGCUGUCACACCAGGAAUUGAGGAACUUACACUUCAACUGUCUAUGGGGGAAUACAAUUUUCCAUGCUCACUUUUGUCUAAUGGGAGUGGAGAGUCAAUCCGUUAUCUCCAUCUUUGUGGUUGCUCCUUUCGACCCACAGCUGAACUUCCUUGGUUAAAAAGCUUGACAAAAGUGCGGCUUCAUGCUGUCCGUUUUACUGGGGAUGAGUUAGGGUGCCUUCUGUGCAAUUCUUCUGCUUUGGAGCGGUUGGUUCUCAUGCAUUGUGAUGAGAUGGUUUGCUUGAAGAUCCCUUGCAUGCUGCGGCGGCUCAGGUACCUACAGGUUUUUGGCUGUGAAGAUCUGCGAGUGAUAGACAACAAAGCUCCAAAUAUAUCCAGCUUCUUGUACAGCGGAGAACGCAUUCAACUGUCACUUGGAGACACAUUGAAAAUGGAGUACAUACACUUGUUGUUCAGACGUGCACUUCAUUAUGCUCGUGUUGAACUUCCAUCCAGCAUGCCAAACCUCAAAAUUGCUAAUAUAAAUUCGAGAAGCGAGAUGGCCAAUACACCAGUGCCGCGCAGCAAGUUUCUCCACCUCAAGAAGCUAAUUAUUAGUCUUAACACAAUAACCUUUUCCUAUGAUUAUUUUUCUCUAGUUUCCUUGCUUGGCGCUUGCCCCUCCUUGGAGACACUGGUCUUGGAUGUAUCCAAGGAGAAAAUGGAGCAUGUCUCCAUAUUCACAGAUCCCUCAGAUCUGAGGAAAGGACAGCAGCAUCACAAGAUGAAGAGAGUGAAGAUCCUAGGAUUCACAUCUGCAAAGAGUCUUGUUGAGCUUACUUGCCAUUUUCUUGAGAGCAUAACAUCACUUGAAUACCUUACGCUGGAGUCCUAUCAGAGUCGUUCAAGGUGUUGUGCCUGCUAACAAACGUUGCAAGUGCUUCCCACUGCCCAUUGAUGUUCUCAGGGAAGCUCAACGAGGACUCUUGGCUAUCAGGACAUACAUUGAGCCUAAAGUCCCUUCCAUGGUAAAGCUACGUGUGGUUGAACCUUGCCGCCGUUGCCAUGCUGCUGUUGAACUUUAGAUGUGUAACUCUGGUAGGAGCUAGGGCCCUACCGGAUCUAGGGCGUAGGUUGUAGGGGAAGGAGGGGGAAGGACGAGGGUUGGUGCGCGGCGGCCGCCGGCGUGGCGUCGUCCUUGCGACGGAAGCAGCGGCGGCGAAGGCAGGAGGCGGCUUGGGUUUAGGUCUCCCGGCUCCCUAAGGGAAGCCGAGCAAAUUAUGAUUGCUUCUUGCUUGAUUAGAUUGAUACAUCUCCUCUCCAUCUCCUCUCCUUAUAUAGAGAGGUUUACUUGACUCUUAAGCAAACGAUCCUAAUACGAUAAGAUAAUUGGGCUAAGCCUCUAAUUAAGAUACUUGGGCCAUAACCCAC